UAAAUAGCCCGGCUGGCUUUGGCUAGUCGCUGGCUUCUUAGAGGGACUAUCGACGUUUAGUCGAUGGAAGUUUGAGGCAAUAACAGGUCUGUGAUGCCCUUAGAUGUUCUGGGCCGCACGCGCGCUACACUGACAGAGCCAGCGAGUAACUUUCCUUGGCCGGAAG
This 166-nucleotide ribosomal RNA is filed under the name Sporobolomyces sp. Its description in RNAcentral is "partial small subunit ribosomal RNA". It matches the Rfam family "Eukaryotic small subunit ribosomal RNA", at positions 1352 to 1539 of the family's 1831-position model. The record is from RNAcentral. Lineage: Eukaryota; Fungi; Basidiomycota; Microbotryomycetes; Sporidiobolales; Sporidiobolaceae.